This is a long non-coding RNA of Catharus ustulatus (Swainson's thrush), 770 nucleotides long. RefSeq lists it as uncharacterized. The record is from RefSeq and is a predicted model, not a curated record. Lineage: Eukaryota; Metazoa; Chordata; Aves; Passeriformes; Turdidae. The transcript is spliced from 4 exons.
AAGCUACCAUGGUAACACAGGGAGAAAACCUGUAAAAAACUGAUUUGAGUCCUUGAAUAUCUAAGAUCCAAUCAUGAAAAAACGUUCAGCAAAUCCUUCCCACUGGGGAAAACAGAAAUUACAGGAAGUUUCUACCACUUCCCAUGGAACAUUAUUGAGCUUGAAGAAGGAAAGGUACUUUCCACUACAUUCUGACAGGCAGAAGCACUGCAGAUACUUUCAUGGGUUAUCUCUUUGCACUGCUGACCAGAAAUUAGAAAACCAUGAGAAUUAACUGGGAAAAUAGACCUUCAAAUGACCAAGAAGCAUGUGGAAUAUAAAAAAAGCCAAACCAAACAAAAAAACCUAAAACAGCAACAAAUACAUCAUCAAGAACCUAAGGAAAAAGAAAAGGGUCAAAGAAGAAAAAAAAAAAGAAGACAUAUUCUAUCCAUCAGAAAUUUUAAAAGAAGCCUAAUUGCCAGCAUCCUUUACCAAAUGUAUUUCCAGAUGUUCAUGCAGGAAAUUCUAAUUGUUUUUUAAAUAAAGAAGGCUAUUUGGGAAAGAGAAACCAAACAGGGUUUGAUUCCACAAUUGAAACACCUUACCUUUGUAACAAUGCCAAAAAAUAUGUUUGCACUUUUUUAUUUGAGGUCUUUUAGGAAAUAAGGGACACCUGCCAUUUGCUCCAAGGAUUGUGUAGAAUUUAACAGCUGCCAUACUGCACAAAUAACAGAAAAUUUCCUGCUAGCAUAUGUUUUAUAUUUGCAAUGUCACUGUUACUUUGCACA